CCUACGGGCGGCAGCAGUAGGGAAUAUUGCUCAAUGGGGGAAACCCUGAAGCAGCAACGCCGCGUGGAGGAUGAAGGUUUUCGGAUUGUAAACUCCUUUUGUUAGAGAAGCUAAUAACGGUAUCUAACGAAUAAGCACCGGCUAACUCCGUGCCAGCAGCCGCGGUAAUACGGAGGGGGCAAGCGUUACUCGGAAUCACUGGGCGUAAAGAGCGCGUAGGCGGGAUAGCAAGUCAGAUGUGAAAUCCUAUGGCUUAACCAUAGAACUGCAUUUGAAACUGUUAUUCUAGAGUAUGGGAGAGGUAGGUGGAAUUCGUGGUGUAGGGGUAAAAUGCGUAGAGAUCAAGAGGAAUACUCAUUGCGAAGGCGACCUGCUAGAACAUAACUGACGCUGAUGCGCGAAAGCGUGGGGAGCAAACAGGAUUAGAUACCCCAGUAGUC
Molecule: ribosomal RNA, 440 nt
Filed under: uncultured bacterium
Lineage: Bacteria
Description: partial 16S ribosomal RNA
Rfam family: Bacterial small subunit ribosomal RNA
Source: RNAcentral